UCGGGAGCGGGGUGGGCAAUUUAUGUCGGUGUUGGCGCCUGCGGCAGCGCCUCUGGAGCCGCCCCCCGUUCUGGAGCCAGGGGGUUCUGAAUGACCUCCCUCUCACUUCGUUCGAGCUGAAUUACAUCCACCCUCUCACGGUUAAAAAAGUGGUUAACUAUCUCGAAAAAAUCCAUAUCGUCCAUCCGAAAAACGUGUCUCAAUUACAGCCAACUCCCCCUCCCCUGUCUCUUUCCCUAUCGAAAAACCAGCCCUACUUAUUUUGUUCUACAAAUGCUAACCAAGUGACACACUGGGGCCAUGGGUCAUGAAAGAGGUUGACCCCCAUCCUCCUUAACUAUGUAUGGCUAAUGAACUCCUCGCUUUAGUCCGUUCUUUUCCUUCUUUGGGCUCGGGUCGAUAGUAGCCGUGGUAGUAAUGCCCCGGAGCCCAGCUACCGACCCGAGGCGCCGAUCGGGAAAGUCAUAA
This 468-nucleotide long non-coding RNA is filed under the name Nicotiana benthamiana. Its description in RNAcentral is "long non-coding RNA (NBEN_LNC012201)". Lineage: Eukaryota; Viridiplantae; Streptophyta; Magnoliopsida; Solanales; Solanaceae. The record is from RNAcentral.